Molecule: transfer RNA, 72 nt
Filed under: Diaphorina citri (Asian citrus psyllid)
Lineage: Eukaryota; Metazoa; Arthropoda; Insecta; Hemiptera; Psyllidae
Rfam family: tRNA
About the family: Transfer RNA (tRNA) molecules are approximately 80 nucleotides in length. Their secondary structure includes four short double-helical elements and three loops (D, anti-codon, and T loops).
Source: Rfam by way of RNAcentral
GCUCCCAUGGCGUAGUGGUCACUGCGCUCGCCUUGCACGCGGGAGACCCGGGUUCGAUUCCUGGCGGGUUCA